CGGGAGAUGGCUGAGCGGUCGAAAGCGGCGGUCUUGAAAACCGUUGAGGUGUGAAAGCCUCCUGGGGUUCGAAUCCCUAUCUCCCGGCCA
This 90-nucleotide transfer RNA is filed under the name Campylobacter concisus. RNAcentral describes it as "tRNA-Ser". It matches the Rfam family "tRNA". Rfam says of the family: Transfer RNA (tRNA) molecules are approximately 80 nucleotides in length. Their secondary structure includes four short double-helical elements and three loops (D, anti-codon, and T loops). RNAcentral also lists the same sequence under 21 other names. The record is from RNAcentral. Lineage: Bacteria; Pseudomonadati; Campylobacterota; Epsilonproteobacteria; Campylobacterales; Campylobacteraceae.